GCAGCGGUGGUUCAAUGGUAGAAUUCUCCCCUUCCAUGCAGGAGACCUGGGUUCAACUCCCGGCCAGUGCA
Molecule: transfer RNA, 71 nt
Organism: Loxodonta africana (African savanna elephant)
Lineage: Eukaryota; Metazoa; Chordata; Mammalia; Proboscidea; Elephantidae
Rfam family: tRNA
About the family: Transfer RNA (tRNA) molecules are approximately 80 nucleotides in length. Their secondary structure includes four short double-helical elements and three loops (D, anti-codon, and T loops).
Source: Rfam